UCCAAAUAUAUCUGGAGGCUUUUUCCAAAUAUAUUUCACGAACGCCUCAUCCAACCGCCUCCCCCACCCUGCUCUAUGUAUUGCGGUGCUCCUGGAGGGUUUCUCAGCCCGGCCCACGUGGCUUUGAACUCUUCUAACGCGCUUCUCCCGACGACGGCAGAAGGGCGCGGAAUAAAUGCAUAAAUAAUGGCAGCGCGAUUCAUUAUGGCACCGAGCAGGAGCCGCGAUGCGACAGCUGGGCAGCGUGCGCGUCUGGAAGAUAAAAGCAGCCCGGCAUGGGAUCUUCAGAGAGCCGUCCCCCUUUCUUCCGGGGAGCACGAGAUCAAGAUUCUUCCCAUCACAACUGAGAUGAUCCAAAGAGAAACUUGGAACACCAGCAGUGUCUCAUAUUUACUGAGCAUCCCAGAACAGCUGGGCGAAUAUAGAGUAAAAAUGUCAGUUUACACAGUUUUGUAUUUGUAUUAUCUGGCAACUGAAAGUCAUUAUAAUAAGCUGAGAGCCCAAAUAUUGCAGUAACUACUUGUUGGAUUAAAGAUGAAGGCACUAGCUUGUACUUUUGUUUUGUAACUGAGAGUGUAUUAAAACAUUUAAUACCUUGCAAGGAGUUUCUCAGGUUGCUAACAUAUCUACAAUGCCAGUCCCACUCACACAUAAAUAGAAUUUGUCUUGAUGGCAAAGAAUUCAUAAAGACAUAAGACCAUUUACAGGCACAGCCUUUUUACAUUUAAUAAAUGCAUAUUCAGAGUAUCUAGAAGUGUUUGCAAUUAUUUUAUUAGUCACUCACACUAUAGAUGUAGAGAUGACCUUUUGCAAGAACCAGAUGUUCCAGAACAGUUAGUGAAAUAUAAUCAUUAUUUGUAGCUGAAUCUUUUCAUAGAAUCCUAAAAAAUAGAAUCGGGCAUAUAAAGUACAAGUAGUCCUCGACUUUCUUCAGUUAAUUUAAUAACCACUCAAAGUUACAAUGUCACUGAAAAAAAUGACUUAUGACUCCUUCUCACAUUUAUGACUAUUGCAGCAUCCUUAUGGCCAUAUGAUCAAAAUUCAAAUGCUUGGCAACUGACUUAUUAUUUAUGAUGGUUGCUGUAUCCUGGGGUCAUGUGAUUGCAUUUUGCAAACUUCUGACAAGCAAAGUCAAUGGGGAAGCCAGAUUCAUUUAACAACCAUGUUACUAACUUAACAACUGCAGUGAUUCACUUAAUAAUUGUGGCAAAAAAGAUUGUAAAGGCAAAACUCACUUAACAACUGUCUCACUUAGCAAUAGAAACUUUGGGCUCAAUUAUAGUUAGUUGAGGACUAUCUGUAACAUCAGCACCCCGCUACAAAUGGACUGUGUUCAAAGACUGAAGAAAGUUUUAGGAUUAAUAUUUGUAGGAAAUGCCGUACAUAAUCAAACACUUGCAAAUCACAUCACAACACAGUACAUGCAACAGCAACCUAAUCUUAGGUUGUAUCUUACAUUCACGUUGAUCUUUCAUCCCUAAUUUGAGAACCAGCAUUAAGGACAAAUAGCUGAAACAGGAUGAGCAAUCUUCUCAUUCCCAUUCAUGGCACAUUGAUCAGCUAAAGAAUAAAGAGAUAUAGAAAGGGGAAGUUACUCCUGAUAGAGUUGGAAGCUGUGUUGCAAUUCUUGAGCUAUGAUCAUUGCCCAACCAAUGUUAUUUGCUGCAUGGUUGCCAGUAGUUCAACAUGUAGACUAUAAAUAAAACAUCAUCUAUGUCUUGUACGGAGCAGUAUAGUGGGUUGAAUUCUUGUUUAUAAUCAAUGAAUUAUGCAUGCUUCUGAUGUUGUAUUGUUACUGUGGUAAUCCUUUAUGUCAAGUUUUACAUGUGUACAGCAACCAAUAAAAGAUCUGGCUUUGGUCUCUUUGAUCAGUAAUGUAUAAUGUAUAAUCACAUGAAUGUUCAUAAGUAUUUUAACACUUUUGUCAUCCUACACCUUCGUUAGCAGCAAUGAAGUGCUGAGGGGAGGAAACACAAUAAGAAGAAAAAGGGUUACAGUUCAGGAAAGAUGCAAACUAAAAGAAAAGCCUAUGUUUAUAUCCUUAUAAAAUUUGAAAUUCUGAAAAAGAUGCUGACUAACAUUGCAAACUGAUGGAUUUGUGAAGAUUCCCAAAUGGCAGAAUCUCUGUUUGUUUCUAGCCCUUAUCUAUUAGUUAAAAUAAAUGUUAAGUGGCAAAUCA
Pantherophis guttatus is the source of this 2179-nucleotide long non-coding RNA. RefSeq lists it as uncharacterized. The record is from RefSeq and is a predicted model, not a curated record. NCBI's taxonomy places the organism in Eukaryota, Metazoa, Chordata, Lepidosauria, Squamata, Colubridae.